GAUGAACGCUAGCGGGAGGCCUAACACAUGCAAGCCGAGCGGUAUAGAAUCUUCGGAUUUUAGAGAGCGGCGUACGGUGCGGAACACGUGUGCAACCUACCUUUAUCUGGAGGAUAGCCUUUCGAAGGAAGAUUAAUACUCCAUAAUAUAUUGAUUGGCAUCAAUUAAUAUUGAAAGCUCCGGCGGAUAGAGAUGGGCACGCGCAAGAUUAGUUAGUUGGUGAGGUAACGGCUCACCAAGACGAUGAUCUUUAGGGGCCUGAGAGGGUGAUCCCCACACUGGUACUGAGACACGGACCAGACUCCUACGGGAGGCAGCAGUGAGGAAUAUUGGACAAUGGGUGACAAGCCUGAUCCAGCCAUCCCGCGUGAAGGACGACUGCCCUAGUGGG
RNAcentral lists this ribosomal RNA (391 nucleotides) under uncultured bacterium. RNAcentral's name for it is "bacterial SSU rRNA". It matches the Rfam family "Bacterial small subunit ribosomal RNA", at positions 28 to 422 of the family's 1533-position model. The record is from RNAcentral.